RNAcentral lists this ribosomal RNA (463 nucleotides) under uncultured bacterium. Its description in RNAcentral is "partial 16S ribosomal RNA". It matches the Rfam family "Bacterial small subunit ribosomal RNA", at positions 28 to 507 of the family's 1533-position model. The record is from RNAcentral.
GACGAACGCUGGCGGCAUGCCUAACACAUGCAAGUCGAACGGGGAAGCCCGAGCUUGCUGCAGUGGAUUAGUGGCGAACGGGUGAGUAACACGUAAGCAACCUGCCCCUCACCGUGGAAUAUGCGCUGGAAACGGCGUCUAUUACUGGAUACGAGAAGGGUCCGCAUGGUCACUUUCUGUAAGGUUAUUCGGUUGGGGAUGGGCUCGCGGUCUAUUAGCUUGUUGGUGAGGUAAUAGCCCACGAAGGCGACGACGCAUAGCUGGCCGGGGAGGACGACCAGCCACACUGGGAGUGAGACACGGCCCAGACUCGGACGGGAGGCAGGGGGGGGGAAUAUUGGACGAUGGGCGAAAGCCUGAUCCAGCCAUGGCGCGUGAGUGAUGAAUGCGUUAUGGAUGUCAAGCUCUGUUACCAGGGAUGAAAAUGACAGUACCGGGAGAAAAAGACCCGGCUAACUCCGUG